AUACAUGCAAGUCGAGCGGACAGAAGGGAGCUUGCUCCCGGAUGUUAGCGGCGGACGGGUGAGUAACACGUGGGUAACCUGCCUGUAAGACUGGGAUAACUCCGGGAAACCGGAGCUAAUACCGGAUAGUUCCUUGAACCGCAUGGUUCAAGGAUGAAAGACGGUUUCGGCUGUCACUUACAGAUGGACCCGCGGCGCAUUAGCUAGUUGGUGGGGUAAUGGCUCACCAAGGCGACGAUGCGUAGCCGACCUGAGAGGGUGAUCGGCCACACUGGGACUGAGACACGGCCCAGACUCCUACGGGAGGCAGCAGUAGGGAAUCUUCCGCAAUGGACGAAAGUCUGACGGAGCAACGCCGCGUGAGUGAUGAAGGUUUUCGGAUCGUAAAGCUCUGUUGUUAGGGAAGAACAAGUGCGAGAGUAACUGCUCGCACCUUGACGGUACCUAACCAGAAAGCCACGGCUAACUACGUGCCAGCAGCCGCGGUAAUACGUAGGUGGCAAGCGUUGUCCGGAAUUAUUGGGCGUAAAGGGCUCGCAGGCGGUUUCUUAAGUCUGAUGUGAAAGCCCCGGCUCAACCGGGGAGGGUCAUUGUAACUGGGAAACUUGAGUGCAGAGAGGAGAGUGAUCCACGUGUAGCGUGAAUGCGUAARAUGUGAGAMCAUGCGAAGGCA
RNAcentral lists this ribosomal RNA (673 nucleotides) under Bacillus pumilus. RNAcentral describes it as "bacterial SSU rRNA". Lineage: Bacteria; Bacillati; Bacillota; Bacilli; Caryophanales; Bacillaceae. The record is from RNAcentral.